RNAcentral lists this ribosomal RNA (247 nucleotides) under uncultured bacterium. Its description in RNAcentral is "partial 16S ribosomal RNA". It matches the Rfam family "Bacterial small subunit ribosomal RNA", at positions 15 to 253 of the family's 1533-position model. The record is from RNAcentral.
GAUCAUGGCUCAGGAUGAACGCUAGCUACAGGCUUAACACAUGCAAGUCGAGGGGCAGCGGGAUUGGAGCUUGCUUCAAUUGCCGGCGACCGGCGCACGGGUGAGUAACGCGUAUCCAACCUUCCGUACACUCAGGGAUAGCCUUUCGAAAGAAAGAUUAAUACCUGAUGGUAUCUUAAGCACACAUGUAAUUAAGAUUAAAGAUUUAUCGGUGUACGAUGGGGGUGCGUUCCAUUAGGUAGUAGGG